AGUCGAGCGGUAACAGGGGAGCUUGCUCCUGCUGACGAGCGGCGGACGGGUGAGUAACGCGUAGGAAUCUACCUGGUAGUGGGGGAUAGCCCGGGGAAACUCGGAUUAAUACCGCAUACGCCUUAAGGGGGAAAGCAGGGGAACUUCGGUCCUUGUGCUAUCAGAGGAGCCUGCGUUGGAUUAGCUAGUUGGUAGGGUAAAGGCCUACCAAGGCGACGAUCCAUAGCUGGUCUGAGAGGAUGAUCAGCCACACCGGAACUGAGACACGGUCCGGACUCCUACGGGAGGCAGCAGUGGGGAAUAUUGGACAAUGGGGGCAACCCUGAUCCAGCCAUGCCGCGUGUGUGAAGAAGGCCUUCGGGUUGUAAAGCACUUUAAGUUGGGAGGAAGGGGUGAUUGCUAAUAUCAAUCAUCAUUGACGCUACCGACAGAAUAAGCACCGGCUAACUCCGUGCCAGCAGCCGCGGUAAUACGGAGGGUGCAAGCGUUAAUCGGAAUUACUGGGCGUAAAGCGCGCGUAGGCGGCUAAGUAAGUCGGGUGUGAAAGCCCCGGGCUCAACCUGGGAACUGCAUCCGAUACUGUUUGGCUA
RNAcentral lists this ribosomal RNA (590 nucleotides) under uncultured Gammaproteobacteria bacterium. RNAcentral describes it as "bacterial SSU rRNA". It matches the Rfam family "Bacterial small subunit ribosomal RNA", at positions 60 to 643 of the family's 1533-position model. The record is from RNAcentral. Lineage: Bacteria; Pseudomonadati; Pseudomonadota; Gammaproteobacteria.